AAUUUUUUGGACAAAAGCUGAAGUUUUGCACCUUCAAUCAAGAUGUGAUUAAAGGGCAGACUGAGUUUUAAUUUAAAGGGUUUUACAAAUAUUUUUGCAUUUACUGUUACUGUUACUGUCCCCCCUUUCAUGGGCUCAAAAUGAACUGGACAACAAACUGAACAAUGUUUUAAUAUUUUAAAAUCAUGCUGGUUUUUAAACUCAUGGUCGAAACUCUGCAUUUCCUUCCCUCCCUCGAGGUGCUCUAAGUCGUUACUACAGCCACGUUCAGUUGCUGUUGGUUUUUUAAAAUUCUUUCUUCAUAGAGUUUUGUAUUUAAUAACUGAGAAGCACUCUCUGUUGGGCUUUCUUUGCCUUGAGAAACUCUUGGGUUGCUUUUGCUAUACGUUUUGGAUCAUUAUUCAUUUGCAGGUUUUGUCCUGUCAGUUUUUGAGUAUUUGUCUCAGUCUGAACGUCAGGUCGAGCAGAGAGCAGCUGUAUAUGCUUAUAAUACUGCCUUCACCAUGUUUAAUAGAUAAUGGUGGCAUGCUUUGGAUCAUAAGCAGUUCCUUAGUUUCCGUAGUUCCGUAGUUUUCCAUCAUUCUAGUACAAGUUAAUCUUAGUUUCAUCUGUUCAAAGGUUAUUUUUAUUAAAUUUUUAAUUUAAUUAAACUGUGCAGACUCCUGUAGAUGUUUUCCAAUCUGAUCUCAGCGGGCCUUGUUUAUUCAGAAGUUCACAUGAUGUUUCUUUGCUUUUUGAAUUUUCAUUUCCAUGAUGGCAUCUCUUGGUAGUAGACCUUGACAAUGAUACACCUCCCUCCUCCAGACUGUUCUUGACUUGGCCCUUUGGUGUUGCUCAGCUGGCCAGAGCUGGCCUGAGGAGAUUCGGAGGAGAGGCAAAGCAUGUGGGUUGAGUUGCAAGAAUGCUUUCUGAAGCCCAGUGUCUGUGCAACUGCAUCAGAUCCGAGAUCAUAAGAUAUAGAUAUAUCUAUAUCUUUCAUUCUUUCUUUACUCUCCCCUAGUGACACCACGAUGUAGCGGUUAACACAAUGAUGUUCCCAUUUCAAGAUUGGGAAGAAAUACAAACCCAGCCUCAGGGAGUCACAAGCUACUGUACUCCAGUGCUGGUCCCAAACCUGGAUAAAUGGCAGAGUUGCAUCAGGAAGGGCAUCCCUCAUCAAGUCUCUGCCAAUCAAACAUGCAGUUCCAUCUUCUGUGGCAAUCCCUUGGGAAAUAAACCAG
Molecule: long non-coding RNA, 1220 nt
Organism: Astatotilapia calliptera (eastern happy)
Lineage: Eukaryota; Metazoa; Chordata; Actinopteri; Cichliformes; Cichlidae
Source: Ensembl